RNAcentral lists this small RNA (92 nucleotides) under Flavobacterium lacus. RNAcentral's name for it is "Flavo-1 RNA". It matches the Rfam family "Flavo-1 RNA". Lineage: Bacteria; Pseudomonadati; Bacteroidota; Flavobacteriia; Flavobacteriales; Flavobacteriaceae. The record is from RNAcentral.
UUUGCGUUAAGGAUGGUAGUGGAACUCUUUUUUUGCCCUAAGCGGUAAGUAGGAUGGACAAAAAAAAGUGGGAACGGACAGCCUGACCCGCA